CCUUCAAUAGCUCAGCUAGUAGAGCGGAGGACUGCAGACUUGAUAAAUGUGGACAUCCUUAGGUUGCCGGUUUGAUUCCGGCUUGAAGGA
RNAcentral lists this transfer RNA (90 nucleotides) under Bos taurus (domestic cattle). It matches the Rfam family "tRNA". From Rfam's summary of the family: Transfer RNA (tRNA) molecules are approximately 80 nucleotides in length. Their secondary structure includes four short double-helical elements and three loops (D, anti-codon, and T loops). The record is from Rfam by way of RNAcentral. Lineage: Eukaryota; Metazoa; Chordata; Mammalia; Artiodactyla; Bovidae. RNAcentral also lists the same sequence under 2 other names.